GAUGAACGCUGGCGGCGUGCCUAAUACAUGCAAGUCGAGCGAACAGACGAGGAGCUUGCUCCUCUGACGUUAGCGGCGGACGGGUGAGUAACACGUGGAUAACCUACCUAUAAGACUGGGAUAACUUCGGGAAACCGGAGCUAAUACCGGAUAAUAUAUUGAACCGCAUGGUUCAAUAGUGAAAGACGGUUUUGCUGUCACUUAUAGAUGGAUCCGCGCCGCAUUAGCUAGUUGGUAAGGUAACGGCUUACCAAGGCGACGAUGCGUAGCCGACCUGAGAGGGUGAUCGGCCACACUGGAACUGAGACACGGUCCAGACUCCUACGGGAGGCAGCAGUAGGGAAUCUUCCCAAUGGGCGAAAGCCUGACGGAGCAACGCCGCGUGAGUGAUGAAGGUCUUCGGAUCGUAAAACUCUGUUAUUAGGGAAGAACAAAUGUGUAAGUAACUAUGCACGUCUUGACGGUACCUAAUCAGAAAGCCACGGCUAACUACGUG
Molecule: ribosomal RNA, 496 nt
Filed under: uncultured bacterium
Lineage: Bacteria
Description: partial 16S ribosomal RNA
Rfam family: Bacterial small subunit ribosomal RNA
Source: RNAcentral